CACUCUGGCAGUUACUAUACAUACAAGAUAUAUCACACUUUCGUGAUACAUGAUUGAAUAAUAUGGAAUUAACAGUAAAUCAACCAGAACAAACGUUAAACGCAGCAAUCUACUGCAUCAUGUAUAAAUGCAAUAUAGUUAAUUGUUGAAUAAAAUGCAAGAUUGACUGUACAUGCGUGUUACGAAGAAUGAAAGAUGCAGUGCAACGCACAAUUUAAGAAUAUUGCGAGUGAGGUACGAAAUUAUAUCGACAUUUACGCAUAUAUAUGUAUAUGUCGUUUACAUAAAUAAAAUUACAUGUUCCGCCAUAUUGCGCGCGCACAUAUCUAAA
Long non-coding RNA from Wasmannia auropunctata (little fire ant), 331 nucleotides. RefSeq lists it as uncharacterized. NCBI's taxonomy places the organism in Eukaryota, Metazoa, Arthropoda, Insecta, Hymenoptera, Formicidae. The transcript has 2 exons. The record is from RefSeq and is a predicted model, not a curated record.